Molecule: ribosomal RNA, 993 nt
Filed under: Gliomastix murorum
Lineage: Eukaryota; Fungi; Ascomycota; Sordariomycetes; Hypocreales; Bionectriaceae
Description: SSU rRNA
Rfam family: Eukaryotic small subunit ribosomal RNA
Source: RNAcentral
UGCGAAUGGCUCAUUAUAUAAGUUAUCGUUUAUUUGAUAGUGCCUGUCCUACUUGGAUAACCGUGGUAAUUCUAGAGCUAAUACAUGCUAAAAAUCCCGACUUCGGAAGGGAUGUAUUUAUUAGAUUAAAAGCCAAUGCCCUUCGGGGCUCCCUGGUGAUUCAUAAUAACUUCACGGAUCGCACGGCCUUGCGCCGGCGAUGGUUCAUUCAAAUUUCUUCCCUAUCAACUUUCGAUGUUUGGGUAUUGGCCAAACAUGGUGGCAACGGGUAACGGAGGGUUAGGGCUCGACCCCGGAGAAGGAGCCUGAGAAACGGCUACUACAUCCAAGGAAGGCAGCAGGCGCGCAAAUUACCCAAUCCCAAUUCGGGGAGGUAGUGACAAUAAAUACUGAUACAGGGCUCUUUUGGGUCCUGUAAUUGGAAUGAGUACAAUUUAAAUCCCUUAACGAGGAACAAUUGGAGGGCAAGUCUGGUGCCAGCAGCCGCGGUAAUUCCAGCUCCAAUAGCGUAUAUUAAAGUUGUUGUGGUUAAAAAGCUCGUAGUUGAACCUUGGGCCUGGCUGGCCGGUCCGCCUCACCGCGUGUACUGGUCCGGCCGGGCCUUUCCCUCUGUGGAACUCCAUGCCCUUCACUGGGUGUGGCAGGGAAACAGGACUUUUACUUUGAAAAAAUUAGAGUGCUCCAGGCAGGCCUUUGCUCGAAUAUAUUAGCAUGGAAUAAUAGAAUAGGACGUGCGGUUCUAUUUUGUUGGUUUCUAGGACCGCCGUAAUGAUUAAUAGGGACAGUUGGGGGCAUCAGUAUUCCGCAGUUAGAGGUGAAAUUCUUGGAUCUGCGGAAGACUAACUGCUGCGAAAGCGUUUGUCAAAGAUGUUUUCAUUAAUCAGGAACGAAAGUCAGGGGAUCGAAGACGAUCAGAUACCGUCGUAGUCUUGACCAUAAACUAUGCCGACUAGGGAUCGGGCGAUGUUAUAUUUUGACUCGCUCGGCACCUUA